AAGCAAAUUACCUGUGUCUACAUUGCUUAAUGACGGGGGCGCUAACAGGACCUUUGCCGCCUGCCAGAGCAGAAACUGACCCAUCCGGGAGGCAAUUGGAUGGCCCUGGGCUUGCCACUUGACUGAAGCCAUCCAUCAGAGAAAAGGACCUGAUCUCACCAAUACAGUGAAGAGUGAGAAUUUUGAACCCCAAAACUGGGUGGGACCCCCGUUCAGCCACUCAUUGGAUACACACACGGGUGCUUUGCUUUUCUGAGGCCUGGAUUCCUGGGAACUGUGUCUCUGGAGAUUUGGGGAGCGUGAGCAGAGAUCCUCUAAGAGAAGGCACCAGACUCAGCCCAGGAUGUCGCUCAGAAGAGACAGACUGGCCUUGCCUGACCUU
This is a long non-coding RNA of Talpa occidentalis (Iberian mole), 382 nucleotides long. RefSeq lists it as uncharacterized. NCBI's taxonomy places the organism in Eukaryota, Metazoa, Chordata, Mammalia, Eulipotyphla, Talpidae. The transcript is spliced from 3 exons. The record is from RefSeq and is a predicted model, not a curated record.